This 253-nucleotide ribosomal RNA is filed under the name uncultured bacterium. RNAcentral describes it as "partial 16S ribosomal RNA". It matches the Rfam family "Bacterial small subunit ribosomal RNA", at positions 524 to 776 of the family's 1533-position model. The record is from RNAcentral.
CACGGGGGGAGCAAGCGUUGUUCGGAAUCACUGGGCGGAAAGGGCGUGCAGGCGGUCAGGUAAGUGGGAUGUGAAAUGCCCCGGCUCACCCGGGGACCGGCAUCUCAUACUGCUUGGCUUGAGUACGGGAGAGGAUGUGGGAAUUCCUGGUGUAGCGGUGAAAUGCGUAGAUAUCAGGAGGAACACCGGUGGCGAAGGCGCACAUCUGGCCCGAUACUGACGCUGAGGCGCGAAAGCUAGGGGAGCAAACGGG